Molecule: small nucleolar RNA, 138 nt
Filed under: Setaria italica (foxtail millet)
Lineage: Eukaryota; Viridiplantae; Streptophyta; Magnoliopsida; Poales; Poaceae
Description: Small nucleolar RNA Z247
Rfam family: Small nucleolar RNA Z247
About the family: Z247 is a member of the C/D class of snoRNA which contain the C (UGAUGA) and D (CUGA) box motifs.
Source: Rfam by way of RNAcentral
CCCCUGGAAGACAACCUGUUCAUCUCCCACAUCAUCACCAGCCUCGACUCUGAUACAACCCAAUUGUCUCGGUCAUCCUUGCAAGGACUGAGCCAAUUACACUAGAGGAGUUCUACUCUCAACUCCUCAGCUUUGAGA